This 157-nucleotide ribosomal RNA is filed under the name Chaetomiaceae sp. Its description in RNAcentral is "partial large subunit ribosomal RNA". It matches the Rfam family "Eukaryotic large subunit ribosomal RNA", at positions 99 to 261 of the family's 3401-position model. Lineage: Eukaryota; Fungi; Ascomycota; Sordariomycetes; Sordariales; Chaetomiaceae. The record is from RNAcentral.
CGGCAACAGCUCAAAUUUGAAAUCUGGCUUCGGCCCGAGUUGUAAUUUGUAGAGGAUGCUUUUGGCGCGGCUCCUUCUGAGUCCACUGGAACGUGGCGCCACAGAGGGUGAGAGCCCCGUAUAGUCGGAAGCCAAGCCUGUGUAAAGCUCCUUCGAC